RNAcentral lists this ribosomal RNA (253 nucleotides) under uncultured bacterium. RNAcentral describes it as "partial 16S ribosomal RNA". It matches the Rfam family "Bacterial small subunit ribosomal RNA", at positions 524 to 776 of the family's 1533-position model. The record is from RNAcentral.
UACGGAGGGUGCGAGCGUUGUCCGGAAUCAUUGGGCGUAAAGGGCGCGUAGGUGGCGGGACAAGCGUGCGGUGAAAGCCUGGGGCUCAACCCCGGGUCGGCCGUGCGAACUGUUUUGCUUGAGCACUGUAGAGGCAGGCGGAAUUCCGGGUGUAGCGGUGGAAUGCGUAGAGAUCCGGAAGAACACCGGUGGCGAAGGCGGCCUGCUGGGCAGUUGCUGACACUGAGGCGCGACAGCGUGGGGAGCAAACAGG